This 877-nucleotide ribosomal RNA is filed under the name uncultured Bacteroidia bacterium. RNAcentral's name for it is "bacterial SSU rRNA". It matches the Rfam family "Bacterial small subunit ribosomal RNA", at positions 27 to 896 of the family's 1533-position model. The record is from RNAcentral. Lineage: Bacteria; Pseudomonadati; Bacteroidota; Bacteroidia.
GGAUGAACGCUAGCGAUAGGCCUAACACAUGCAAGUCGAGGGGCAUCACAUGAGGUAGCAAUACUGAUGGUGGCGACCGGCGCACGGGUGAGUAACACGUAUGCAACCUACCUUCCACACGGGGAUAACCCGGAGAAAUCCGGACUAAUACCCGAUAAUACAGGGGUCCCGCAUGGGAAUAUUUGUUAAAGAUUUAUUGGUAGAAGAUGGGCAUGCGUUCCAUUAGUUAGUUGGUGAGGUAACGGCUCACCAAGGCGACGAUGGAUAGGGGAACUGAGAGGUUUAUCCCCCACACUGGAACUGAGACACGGUCCAGACUCCUACGGGAGGCAGCAGUGAGGAAUAUUGGUUAAUGGAGGCAACUCUGAACCAGCCAAGUCGCGUGAAGGAUGAAGGUCUUAUGGAUUGUAAACUUCUUUUAUACAGGAAUAAAUUGAGUCACGUGUGGCUUUUUGCAUGUACUGUAUGAAUAAGGAUCGGCUAACUCCGUGCCAGCAGCCGCGGUAAUACGGAGGAUCCGAGCGUUAUCCGGAUUUAUUGGGUUUAAAGGGUGCGCAGGCGGGAUGUUAAGUCGGCGGUGAAAUUUUGCGGCUCAACCGUAAGAGUGCCUUCGAAACUGGCAUUCAUGAGUAUGGAUGAAGUAGGCGGAAUUUGUGGUGUAGCGGUGAAAUGCUUAGAUAUCACGAGGAACUCCGAUUGCGCAGGCAGCUUACUAAACCAUAACUGACGCUCAUGCACGAAGGCGUGGGGAUCAAACAGGAUUAGAUACCCUGGUAGUCCACGCAGUAAACGAUGAUUACUAGUUGUUUGCGAUACAAUGUAAGCGACUGAGCGAAAGCAUUAAGUAAUCCACCUGGGGAGUACGUUCGCAAGAAUG